GGAUGAACGCUGACAGAAUGCUUACCCCAUGCAAGUCUACUUGAAUUUGGGUUUUUUAACUUAGAUUUGGGUGGCGGACGGGUGAGUAACGCGUAAAGAACUUGCCUCACAGCUAGGGACAACAUUUGGAAACGAAUGCUAAUACCUGAUAUUAUGAUUAUAAGGCAUCUUAGAAUUAUGAAAGCUAUAUGCGCUGUGAGAGAGCUUUGCGUCCCAUUAGCUAGUUGGAGAGGUAACGGCUCACCAAGGCGAUGAUGGGUAGCCGGCCUGAGAGGGUGAACGGCCACAAGGGGACUGAGACACGGCCCUUACUCCUACGGGAGGCAGCAGUGGGGAAUAUUGGACAAUGGACCAAGAGUCUGAUCCAGCAAUUCUGUGUGCACGAUGACGUUUUUCGGAAUGUAAAGUGCUUUCAGUUGGGAAGAAAAAAAUGACGGUACCAACAGAAGAAGUGACGGCUAAAUACGUG
Molecule: ribosomal RNA, 469 nt
Filed under: uncultured bacterium
Lineage: Bacteria
Description: partial 16S ribosomal RNA
Rfam family: Bacterial small subunit ribosomal RNA
Source: RNAcentral